UAGGGCCUACGGGGGGCAGCAGUGAGGGAUAUUGGUCAAUGGGCGAGAGCCUGAACCAGCCAAGUCGCGUGAGGGAAGACGGUCCUAUGGAUUGUAAACCUCUUUUGUCGGGGAGCAAAAAGGCCUCGUGAGGCCACAAGUGAGAGUACCCGAAGAAAAAGCAUCGGCUAACUCCGUGCCAGCAGCCGCGGUAAUACGGAGGAUGCGAGCGUUAUCCGGCUUUAUUGGUUUUAAAGGGUGCGUAGGCGGACUGGCAUGUCAG
This 262-nucleotide ribosomal RNA is filed under the name uncultured bacterium. RNAcentral's name for it is "partial 16S ribosomal RNA". It matches the Rfam family "Bacterial small subunit ribosomal RNA", at positions 333 to 591 of the family's 1533-position model. The record is from RNAcentral.